RNAcentral lists this ribosomal RNA (923 nucleotides) under uncultured archaeon. Its description in RNAcentral is "bacterial SSU rRNA". It matches the Rfam family "Archaeal small subunit ribosomal RNA", at positions 1 to 923 of the family's 1478-position model. The record is from RNAcentral.
UUCCGGUUGAUCCCGCCGGGAGGCCAUUGCUAUCGGAGUCCGAAUUUAGCCAUGCUAGUCGAGCGAGGUUAGCCCUCGCGGCGAACAGCUCAGUAACACGUGGCCAAGCUACCCUGCAGAGGGGGACAGCGUCGGGAAACUGACGGGAAUCCCCCAUACCGGUCUCACGCUGGAAUGCCGAGACCGACAAACGCUCCGGCGCUGCAGGAUGCGGCUGCGGCCGAUUAGGUAGUCGGUGGGGUAACGGCCCACCGAGCCGAUAAUUGGUACGGGGUGUGAGAGCACGAGCCCGGAGACGGAAUCUGAGACAAGAUUCCGGGCCCUACGGGGCGCAGCAGGCGCGAAACCUUUACACUGCACGAACGUGCGAUAAGGGGACUCCGAGUGCGAGGGCAUACAGUCCUCGCUAUUGUGUACCGUAGGGUGGUACACGACCAAGAGCUGGGCAAGACCGGUGCCAGCCGCCGCGGUAAUACCGGCAGCUCGAGUGAUGGCCGAUUUUAUUGGGCCUAAAGCGUCCGUAGCUGGCCCUGCAAGUCCGUCGGGAAAUCCACUCGCCUAACGAGUGGGCGUCCGGCGGAAACUACAGGGCUUGGGACCGGAAGACUUGAGGGGUACGUCUGGGGUAGGAGUGAAAUCCUGUAAUCCUGGACGGACCGCCGAUGGCGAAAGCACCUCAAGACGACGGAUCCGACAGUGAGGGACGAAAGCUAGGGUCUCGAACCGGAUUAGAUACCCGGGUAGUCCUAGCCGUAAACGAUGUUCGCUAGAUGUGGCACAGGCUACGUGCCUGUGCUGUGUCGUAGGGAAGCCGAGAAGCGAACCGCCUGGGAAGUACGUCCGCAAGGAUGAAACUUAAAGGAAUUGGCGGGGGAGCACUACAACCGGAGGAGCCUGCGGUUUAAUUGGAUUCAACGCCGGGA